GGCUGGUCUGGGUGCAGUGUUGUUACACUAACUGAUCACAACCCGCUACAGAUAUCUUUGUUCCUUUUUCACUCCCACUGCUUCACUUGACUAGCAAAA
Molecule: Y RNA, 99 nt
Organism: Callithrix jacchus (white-tufted-ear marmoset)
Lineage: Eukaryota; Metazoa; Chordata; Mammalia; Primates; Cebidae
Rfam family: Y RNA
About the family: Y RNAs are components of the Ro ribonucleoprotein particle (Ro RNP), in association with Ro60 and La proteins. The Y RNAs and Ro60 and La proteins are well conserved, but the function of the Ro RNP is not known. In humans the RNA component can be one of four small RNAs -- hY1, hY3, hY4 and hY5.
Source: Ensembl